CAUGCAAGCUGAGCGGUAUUUGUCUUUCGGGACAGAGAGAGCGGCGUACGGGUGCGUAACACGUGUGCAACCUGCCUUUAUCAGGAGGAUAGCCUUUCGAAAGGAGAUUAAUACUCCAUAAUAUAUUAAUUGGCAUCAAUUGAUAUUGAAAACUCCGGUGGAUAAAGAUGGGCACGCGCAAGAUUAGAUAGUUGGUGAGGUAACGGCUCACCAAGUCGAUGAUCUUUAGGGGGCCUGAGAGGGUGAUCCCCCACACUGGUACUGAGACACGGACCAGACUCCUACGGGAGGCAGCAGUGAGGAAUAUUGGACAAUGGGUUAGCGCCUGAUCCAGCCCAUCCCGCGUGAAGGAUUAAGGACCUAUGGUUUGUAAACUUCUUUUGUACAGGGAUAAACCUACCCUCGUGAGGGUAGCUGAAGGUACUGUACGAAUAAGCACCGGCUAACUCCGUG
This 453-nucleotide ribosomal RNA is filed under the name uncultured bacterium. RNAcentral describes it as "bacterial SSU rRNA". It matches the Rfam family "Bacterial small subunit ribosomal RNA", at positions 54 to 507 of the family's 1533-position model. The record is from RNAcentral.